CCUACCAUGCGCAAGCCCCGCGUGGGCUCUUCCACAGCGACGUGGUCCACAGAUCUCUGGCUAGAGGGGGCCACCAACCCCCCCUACAAGCACAGAAAUAGAGGCUUUGGAAAAAUGCAACAUUUGUGUAGGAAGAGCAGAAUCCAUAACCACAGGGUGGGGUCAUGAACACGUCACACAUCCCCCCCCCCACACCUGCGUGCCUGCCGUGUGAUGUCACAGCCCCCCUUAAAGGCGAGCCUCUUCCCCCACCUGCGUUUUGGAUGUGAGAGGGACACAGCAUCGCCUGCUCCCUGGGAGCAGAGCCUCCCAGCUGACCAGCACCUGACCGCAGGUGCCUGAGUGAGCCCAGCCCAAGUGCCAGCCUCCAAGGUCAGCCACAGAAAGGAUGGGUUUUCAAGUCCUCUAAACUUUGGAGUGGUUGUUACACAGCCAAAGCUAACUGGCACACGCAACCUUCUCACCCCAAAGCUCCCCCCUUGCAUGACACCGCGCUGCUUCCCGAUGGUGCCGCAUUGGGAAGCAGAGAAGGCAGUUCUCCUCACACCCACUGACAGCCCGUGCUUGAUCCUUUGUUUAAAAGUAGCUUUGCCGGAGCUCCCGUCGUGGCUCAGCAGUUAAGACCCUGACUACUAUCCAUGAGGAUGCAAGUUCGAUCCCUGGCCUCGCUCAGUGGGUUAAAGAUCCAGCAUUGCUGUUUAAGCUGUGGUGUAGAUUGCAGACAUGGUUUGGAUCCCGUGUUGCUGUGGCUGUAGUGUAGACCGGCAGCUGCAGCUCCAAUUCAACCCCCAGCCUGGGAACUUCCAUAUACUGUACAAAAAAGACAAAAACCAAAAAAACCCCGAAAAACCAGUAAGUGCUGGAGUGGAUGUGGGGAAACUGGAACCGUCAUGCACUGUUGGUGGGAGUGGGAAAUGGUGCUGCCGUGAAGGCAAGUAGCAUGGCGGAUCCUCAAAAAAUUAAAGGCAGAAUCACCACAAGAUCCAGCAAUUCUACGUCGGCUAUAAACCCAAAAGAACCAAAAGCAAGGGCUUCAAGAGACACGGGCACCCGUGUUCAUGGCAGCAACACUCGCAAUAGCUGAAACACGGACGAAACCCGAGGGCGCAUCAGGAUGAAUGGAUAAGAAAAUGUGGUUUCGUUGUACAAGGAAACAUUAUCAGCUUUAAAGGGAAGGAAAUCCCUCCUACGCUGCAUCAGAAUAAACUCGAGGACACGCUGCUCAGUGAAAUAAGCCAGGCACCAAAAGACAAAUGUGAUUCCGUUACAUGAGGUCCCUAGAGGAGCCAAACUCACAGAGACAGAAGCCGGAUGGGGGGCCAGGGCCUGGGGGAGGGAGGGGUGCUCUGUGGGGACAGUGGCAGUUUGGGAGGAAGAGAGUUCCAGAGAUGGACGGCCAUCCAUCACCAGCGUCCAGAGAGAGGCUGCGUCGUGGCUGGGGGAGGCUUGGGGAGGGACAGAGCGUGGGGCUGGACGGACACCCCAGUCAGGGCUGGUGACCAGGACUGGAGGGCGGGGUUGCCCAGCAGGGGCAGGGUAAAGAGAGCCCCCACCCCCCACCCCAGGACCCUGCAGAGCAGUGCCACUCACCGGGGCAGGGGGUGGGGGUCUGGACUCCCCGGAGGGUAUUGAUGGAAGGCAGAUCCCGAGGGGGGGGUCUGGGGCAGGGUCUCUGAGCAGACUGGGGGUAGCAGAGGCUUGGGGAGUUAAGCAGGGGUCAGAGGCACUGCCCCCAGGAUGCCCUGCCCGGCUUUCACCUCUGUCCCCAGAGGGCAUGCAAGAGCUGAGCAAAGACAUCUGAUCCCUGGAUUUGCUCCUCCACUAGCGGGGUCACCAGAAUGAGCCUCCCUCGGGGGCACAGAAAUACUGGACCUCCGUUGCAAGUUUUAUCUCCCCUUUGAUAAUUUCUAUUUGAGCAGGGUUUUAUCAUGCACAUAAAAUCCUGAUUAGGAGUUAGAGUCCAUCUCCAUAGUGGGUGCCCCGCACUUUUCCAGUGAUCAUGUAGAGUCUGGGGCCACCGUGCAGAGAAGGCCUGGCCAGGCCAGCGGCCCCAAGGCCAAGAGGAAGCUCAGCCACGUAGGGGUGGGGGGCGAGGCCAAAUCCAGGGGGAGAAAGUUGGGGUGCAGCGGGGGCAGCACUGGCCCUCGUUCUCGGGGCUGGGGCGCAGAGCAGCGCCAUGCAGACACGAGGUCCCUUUACAGCAGGGAAAACCCACAGGCAGUGAUUAUUUUAUUAAGGACCAGGGAACGAGGGCUAAUUUAAUUUGCAGAGAAUUACAGCACUGAUUGGAGCUCCACGGCCUCAGGCCUGACAUCACCUUCUCUCCAAUUUCUUUUGACAUUUCGGGCUGAGCCCCCCCUGAAGCCUCAGGAAGACUUCAGCUCUGCCUCCAGGGUGGCAUUCCCGAUGCGCCCCCUGGGGGAGGUGCUGAGACGAGAGGAGGGGGAUGGAGAAGGCCAAGGGGGAGAGAAACAAGGUCGGUCCUUACUUGAAAUGUGGUGUCUUUUCUCAAGCGUGGUGCCAUGAAACAUUUAAACGACUUGCUUUCCACGUGUGCUGGUACACUGAGUGCGCCAUCUAAGGCAGGUUGGCAGAGAAAGCGCAGCCGCACAGUCACAAUGAUGUGUCACCUGGACCGGGAUGGGGAUGUGCCGGAUGGGGGAAGCAGGAUGGGGGUGGAGGAUGCAGGACACAGGAAGGGAGUACAGGAUGGGGGUGGACGAUGGGGGUGCAGGAUGGGGGUGGAGGAUGGGGAUGGAGGAUGGGGGGGAAGCAGGAUGGGGUGCAGGAUGGGGGUGCAGGAUGGGGGUGGAGGAUGGGGAUGGAGGAUGGGGGUGCAGGAUGCAGGACACAGGAAGGGAGUACAGGAUGGGGGUGGAAGAUGGGAGUUGAGGAUGGGGUGGAGAAUGGGGGUGCAGGAUGAGGGUGGAGGAUGGGGAUGCAGGAUGGGGGAUGUGACGGUUACCCCCAGAUCCAAACACCCAGCCAAGUCAUCUUACUUUUCCCACCAAAUUCCCGCUCACAAGAAACGAAUCUUGCCAAAUCUCAAUUACACAGAUUUUUGCGUAUAAUUCCAACAAGCCUGGGGUUGUUCUCACGGACACGGAAAUUCAGCUAGCCGCUGAGCUAACCCGAUUGCAGUGAAGGGCUGUGGAUGUGGGGGCACGCGGUGCUUGUUCGAGCCAAGAGGGAGAAGUGCUUUUGACACUGCGUGUAAUUUAAUAUCAAUCAGACCCUUGACGCGAGUCUGAGCUUAAAACUGCUCCUUCAGGCUGUUUUUCCACCACCAUGGGGCAGCUCUGGAGGGUGGGGCUGGACCCCAGCUGUCCAGGCUCAGAUCUGUGCAGGGGGGCCUUAUGGCCACACCGGCCACAGGCUGGGGGCUGCUGGUCAGUGCCCAGGUGGGUCCCGGGGAGCAGAAUUCAGGCAUUUGGGGCCCUGGGACCCCUGGGCUGAGCCUCACUCUGCCUGUUGAUGGGGGAGGGACAGGCUUUUCCUUCCACCUUCCUGACGCGUGAGGGAACCCCCACUGCCAAGCCUCAGUCUCCCACUUUGUAAAGUGUGGGUGAAAAGUGGGUAUGUACUUGUUUCCAGUGCCCAGCAAAGUGCCUGGCACAGAGCAGACCCAUGGGAGGUGUUUGUUAAAUGAAUGCAUGACAGCUGGAUGGAUUGGGGAAGAGGCUCCCUUACAAAUGAGCCGAUUUAGCCGGCCCAAAGAGAGGGGCUCUAGGUCACUGGCGUGAGGGGGUCCUAGAAAAAGCCCUUGGGCCAAAUGAUCAGCCUCCGCCUGUGUUUCCUACCAAGUAGGGCCGUGAAGCCAAAACUGGAGAAUGGAUGAGAGCGCUUCACACACUGGGAGGCUCCAGGUGGGGGUCCCUGCGGCCACAGAGCAAAGCCUUUCUGCGGAGCUGCCCAAUCCCCCAUGGACCCUAAGGCAUGCACUUGAUCCCCUGAUGGACCCAGGAACCCUCUCGCAACACCUAGCAACAGGUAGACAAGGAGCCCAGGACGCCCAGGAGGAAGGGCCGUUUCUGGUCUGCGGGCCUCUGUCUCCCCAUGCAGGGUUAGGCCCAGGCAGCUGCUAGGGGCGUGCUUGCCCAGCGAGGGUGCAGGUGGGCAGGACGUGUUCUUGCCCACGUGGCUGAAGGUGGAUGUGGAAAUCCGACUGGGUCAGGCAGAGGGGGAACCUCAACGGGUUCGUUUGUGCAGGUGUCAGCUUCCUGGGGAAGCUCCCUGCUCCUUGGAGGCAAGGGCCCAGGAGGUAAGAGGCUGGGGAGGAACAGGGGUGCCCGCUCCAGAGGGCGGGGCCCUGCUCCAUUGCCUGUAUGAGUCUCCGGGUGUCCGGACGCCUGCAAGGCUGUGACUGCCUUCCCCUUGGUCUAUUUCACAUAUUUUACACAGACCAAAUACAGAGAAAAUAGAGACCAAAGGGGCUUUGCCAAGUCAGCCUCAAACAGAAAUUGCAUGUGUGUUGGACCUAUCCUGACACCCACACCCAACAGUGGCUGAGCCUCGUGCAACACGAGGUCCUGAGAGCCAGGGGUGCUGUGGGGAGGCCCUGGGAAGCCCGCUGGGAUAGCCUCCAGGCUCCCCGUGAACCCACCUCAGUCCCAUAGGCUCGUCCCGGGGGAGCAAUGCCUCGGUCAGGGAGCCUCUGGGGCAGCCCUGGGCUGGGACUCAAGGCUGACGGUGUGACAGCUGUGUCCUGGUGCCAGCCUGCAGGAGGGACCCCACGAAGGAGGGCCAGGCCUGGGGGGCACUGCUGCUGGAGGAGCCUCAUGUCCCCGGAGCUGUGGGGGAGCUCAAGCCCCCCGACCUUGAGAAGAGGCACCCCCUUGAGCGCCUGUCCCCUUGCAGAGUGGGCGGUGGGGUGGGGUGGGAGCUACACCAAGCUUCUGGCCUUGUGAGGGCCCACUGGGACUGCACGCCCCCCUCCUUCAUGAGCUCCAGAGACAUGGGACAGCAGCUAUGGAGACAGGUCCUCGGCAUGGAGACCCCAAGAUGCCACUGCCCCAGCUCCCAUGGGGCCAGCCCAGGAGUCCACUUGCUGGCAGCAGGCACUGGCACCCCAUCAGGCUGCCCCCAAACUCCCCGCGCACCUGGGUGGGGGGCCCCCAGGGCUGCUGGUCACACCUUGAUAAGGUGGAGGAGCACUGGGCACGGCACCUGGCACCCACGGCAGCAAGGCCACCCUCAACACCCCUCCUGCCAGCUCCCAUGCUGAGGACACCGGGCACUGACCCAGAUGGAAGGCACGGGCCUCCCAUCCAGCUGCUCCACCAAGGCUCCCAGCACUGCUCCCCACUCCAUCCCCACCAACCGGGGACAGAGGCCACCCACUGAGUACAUCUCCCAGGGGGACAGCCACUGGCUAGCGUCCUUGAUGUGGCAGCUGGCAUCACACAAACCCCAAGGCUCUUGAGCCCAACCAGGCCAUGUCCCUGGGCACUCCAGCCCUGCCCUGUCCCCUCCACCAUCCCAGAGGGUGACAGAAAAGGGGCCGGCCCUGGGGAGGCUGGUCCAGAGGUAGGACACAUGAGGCCAUGCCAGCAAGUCAGAUGCCUCAGGACAGGGUGGGACAGCUUCCCCCAGGAACUCAGAGUACAGAGAGGUGACCGCCUUGUCCUGGGGGCCAGGUGGCCUCUGCCGUGGGUCACGGUGAGCUUGGGAAGGCUCACGCCUGGCACCCGUGCAGGUUGAUGACACCGCUCAAGGUGAGACUUCAGAGGGCGUCCACGUCCGGGACAGGGCUCAGGAAGAGCUCGCUGUCUCGCCUGUGGAGCGACAUCGAGAAGCUUCCAGGGCUUUGCCUUAGUGCCUCCCAGACUUGUUGCCAGCCCUCCGUAUACCCCUAACGAGUCCCCCACUCCGACCCUGCCGUCCACAGGCCGGAGCCCAGGUCCUCCCACCGGCAGGAGGUUGCGUCCCUCUCCGGGCCUCUGCACACAACUUGCCCAUCCUUUGGGGCUUUGGGUCAGCAUCACCUCCACCAGGAAGCCUCCCAGGCAGGGUCCGCUCCCUGGUGCCAGGGCUCCUCUUGGGCCAGGACCGUGUCUGGGCCAUCUGGGUCCUCAGCGCUGCCCAGCUCGGGCCCUGGAGGAAGGACACUCAGGUGGUGUUUGAUGAAUAAAUAAAUGAAAAUGGAAGCAUCCCACCUCAGUCUCGCUGAUCAAAAGAUUUUUCCAACUAUUUUUUUUGCUUCUUAGGGCCACACACACGACAUAUGGAGGUUUCCAGGCUAGGGGUCGAAUCGGACCUACAGCUGCCAGCCUACACCACAGCCACAGCAACGCGGGACCCGAGCUGCAUCUGGGACCUACACCACAUGCAACACCGGAUCCUUAACCCAAUGAGUGAGGCCAGGGCUCGAAUCUGCAUCCUCAUGGAUACUAGUCAGAUUCAUUUCCUCUGAGCCACCACGGGAACUCCAGAUUUUACCAACUUUGAAGCAGCAGGACUCUUGUCCCAAAUAAAGUCUUACCCAGAAGUCCAGGUGUCAGAGAUGAAACAGAGGAAAGUGAGCUGCUUGGGACAAAAGGGACACGAGGUGGGAGCAGAAUUCAGCCUGGCUGCCCCUCUUCCUCCUUAGCUCAGGGACCCCCGACAGGGCUCAGGGAGCACAGCCAGGGAACUACCAGGGUAAUGGGUAAGGCUGAAUCUGCAUGCUGCCCCCCUCCGUCAACAACAGUCAAGUGCCUUGUCCUCAGCUGCCAUCCUCAGCCCCCACUCUCCAGCCUCAAACCCCCCUGCAAGCCCUGUGCCCGCCGUCCCACAUGCCCUGCCCCCAGCAAUGCUUUCGUGGGACGCCUGCCUUCUCAUGGGCUGGUCGCUCUUUCCUCUCCCUUCCGUCAGAUUUUUCCCAGAAGUACUUGCCCUUAUGGUACCCAAAGGGGAGGAGGGUACCACCCACCCAGGUCAAUGGGCAGGUUUGUGUCGGGGUACACCCUACUCCAAGACACCCCAGCAUGCAGGCCAGAGAUGCCCGGGCUGCCCUGCAUCAGCGCAUUAGCUCAAAACCGCAGCACCAGGCUCGGCCUCCCUCCCGGCAUCUCCCCCAGGCCAGGAACGUGGACAAGUCAGGGAGACACAAAAGGAAAACGCAUUUGGUGCAGUCCCCCUGCUGCGAGGCAGGCUCCGCCCCAGGCCCCCAUGUGUCACUUGCAAUGAUGUCCACAGAGCACUCGGCGGGUUGCUGUCCCUCCCCCACCCCGGGCUGGGCCUCUGCCGCCAGGUCUGGCUCCGUCGUCUGACCUGGAAUAAAGUCGCCUGGCUCUGAAGCCAAAGAGCGCUGAGAUGAGAGACUGGAACCCAGGGGUGCCCAGAAAGAGAAAACGCCCACCAGCAAGAACCAGGAGGCAGGACGUCUGUCUGCAGACCUACUGUGUACUACAUUUGUUGAUGACCUACUAUGUGCCAGGCCCCAAGAAGGCCUAAGGAUGACACAGAAAGGGAUGGACAGGAAGGCUGCAUCCACAAGGGGCUGACACGCUGGAUGCCUGGCUGGGGCCUUCAGGCUGACCCCCCCGCCCCAUUCACCCCACAACGCAGGAGCAGGCACCUCUCUUCCCUGCUGGGGGCGAAAUGGAGCCAGAGCAGUGAAGGGGCUCGCUGAGGACAAC
RNAcentral lists this long non-coding RNA (7619 nucleotides) under Sus scrofa (pig). RNAcentral describes it as "lncRNA (ENSSSCG00050026548.1)". Lineage: Eukaryota; Metazoa; Chordata; Mammalia; Artiodactyla; Suidae. The record is from RNAcentral.